RNAcentral lists this unclassified non-coding RNA (217 nucleotides) under Hevea brasiliensis (rubber tree). Lineage: Eukaryota; Viridiplantae; Streptophyta; Magnoliopsida; Malpighiales; Euphorbiaceae. The record is from RNAcentral.
GAAGAGGAAGGCAGAAGCUCUUGACCGGUACUGAUAUUGUCUUAUAGCCUUUUCAUAUUUGUUCCUUGCCUUUUUGUCAUGAUAUAAAUGGAGAUGUUCUUCCUGUUACUCAAGGUUUUCUGUGGGAAAUGGUUUCUAUUGCAGUUGGACCAUAUCCAUGGGAAAAAGGGUUUAGUAUUUGUGGAGUAUCUUCUAUGAAUUUCUUUGAAUCAGCUGC